GACAGAGGGUGCAAACGUUGUUCGGAAUUACUGGGCGUAAAGCGUGUGUGGGCGGCUUUGCAAGUCGGAUGUGAAAGCCCCGGGCUCAACCCGGGAAGUGCACUCGAUACUGCAGAGCUUGAGUGUCGGAGAGGUUGGUGGAAUUCUCGGUGUAGAGGUGAAAUUCGUAGAUAUCGAGAGGAACACCGGCGGCGAAGGCGGCCAACUGGACGACUACUGACGCUGAGACACGAAAGCGUGGGGAGCGAACAGG
This 253-nucleotide ribosomal RNA is filed under the name uncultured bacterium. Its description in RNAcentral is "partial 16S ribosomal RNA". It matches the Rfam family "Bacterial small subunit ribosomal RNA", at positions 524 to 776 of the family's 1533-position model. The record is from RNAcentral.